Molecule: non-coding RNA, 29 nt
Filed under: Mus musculus (house mouse)
Lineage: Eukaryota; Metazoa; Chordata; Mammalia; Rodentia; Muridae
Source: RNAcentral
UGCCCUUCCUACGCCAAUGGUGAGACCGC